AACCAAUUUAUAUUCCCAUCAAUAGUGUACAAGGGUUCCCUUUUCUCCACAUCUUUGCCAACACAUGUUAUCUCCUGAUCUCUUAAUGAAAGCCAAUCUAACAGGUGUGAGGUGAUAGCUCAUUGUGGUUGUCAUUUGCAUUUCCCUGAUGAAGAGCAAUGCUGACCACCUUUUCAUGUACCUGUUGACCACUUGGAUGUCCUUCUCCAGCAGCUCCAGAGUUUUCACCUGCAAAUGUGUUCUAAGUGCUUAACAUAUAUCAACUCAUUUAAUUUUCAUCACAAUUCUAUGAGGAAGAUACUCUCAAUAAUCCUACUUUGCAGAUGAGGAAACUGAGAAGGCCAUGGCAGAGACCCUCAACUGUGACCAGCCAAGUCAAAAACUUUCUCAUGAGCCUGGGACUGAACAUCCACAGGGUAGUCUAAGAUGUGACUAAGUCAAGUACAAUGGCCAUUUGCAGUAAUUCCUGAGAAAUAGCUCACCAGAAUCUAGAGCAAAAAAAGGAACCUCACCCCACAAGUAAGAAACCCCAGAACCUGAACAAGAAUUUGGAAAUCAAAUCUCUAAGGCAAAUCAACUUGGGCAGAAUCCACGAUCAACUCUUUCUGAUUCAGAAGAGAUGACUUGGGCUGGCUCCGUGGCCGAGCAGUUAAGUUUGCGCGCUCCACUUCGGCAGCCCAAGGUUUCACCGGUUCGAAUCCUGGGCGCAGACAUGGCACAGCUCAUGAGGCCAUGCUGAGGAGGCAUCCCACAUGCCACAACUAGAACCCACAACUAAAAAUACACAGCUAUGCACCGGGGGGCUUUGGGGAGAAAAAGGG
RNAcentral lists this long non-coding RNA (821 nucleotides) under Equus asinus (donkey). Its description in RNAcentral is "lncRNA (ENSEASG00005024470.1)". The record is from RNAcentral. Lineage: Eukaryota; Metazoa; Chordata; Mammalia; Perissodactyla; Equidae.